This 244-nucleotide ribosomal RNA is filed under the name uncultured Lactobacillus sp. RNAcentral's name for it is "partial 16S ribosomal RNA". It matches the Rfam family "Bacterial small subunit ribosomal RNA", at positions 118 to 354 of the family's 1533-position model. Lineage: Bacteria; Bacillati; Bacillota; Bacilli; Lactobacillales; Lactobacillaceae. The record is from RNAcentral.
UGGGUAACCUGCCCAAGAGAUCGGGAUAACACCUGGAAACAGAUGCUAAUACCGGAUAACAACAGAUGAUGCCUAUCAACUGUUUAAAAGAUGGUUCCGCUAUCACUCUUGGAUGGACCUGCGGUGCAUUAGCUAGUUGGUAGGGUAACGGCCUACCAAGGCGAUGAUGCAUAGCCGAGUUGAGAGACUGAUCGGCCACAUUGGGACUGAGACACGGCCCAAACUCCUACGGGAGGCAGCAGGU